Molecule: unclassified non-coding RNA, 223 nt
Filed under: Lentilactobacillus parabuchneri
Lineage: Bacteria; Bacillati; Bacillota; Bacilli; Lactobacillales; Lactobacillaceae
Description: Lactobacillus parabuchneri 16S-23S intergenic spacer region
Source: RNAcentral
CUAAGGAAAAACGGAAUCCUGCACAUUGUCGAAAGUUUUGUUUAGUUUUGAGAGGUCUACUCUCAAUUCGUUCUUUGAAAACUAGAUAAUAUUAAUUUUCUGUAAUAAUUUUUUUGAAAUUGUAUUUAAUAUAAUUUCAACCGAGAAUACCGCGUUAUUUUGAGUUUGUUAACUAGAAAAAAUCGCAAAUACUCAAUUAACUUUGCAUCACGUAGUGAUGUAC